This 1334-nucleotide ribosomal RNA is filed under the name metagenome. RNAcentral describes it as "bacterial LSU rRNA". It matches the Rfam family "Bacterial large subunit ribosomal RNA", at positions 1573 to 2925 of the family's 2925-position model. The record is from RNAcentral.
GCGAAUUUAAGUAGCGAAGUGUGCGAUUCCGGCUGUCAAGAAAAGCCGCUAUUGUGUGAUACGUGCCCGUACCGUAAACCGACACAGGUAGAUGAGGAGAGAAUCCUAAGGCCGGCGGGAGAAGCAUUGUUAAGGAACUCGGCAAAAUGACCCUGUAACUUCGGGAGAAAGGGUGCCUGGGAAACCAGGCCGCAGAGAAUAGGCUCAAGCAACUGUUUAGCAAAAACACAGGUCUAUGCGAAACCGUAAGGUGAGGUAUAUGGGCUGACGCCUGCCCGGUGCUGGAAGGUUAAGAGGAGGGGUUAGCGCAAGCGAAGCUCUGAAUUGAAGCCCCAGUAAACGGCGGCCGUAACAAUAACGGUCCUAAGGUAGCGAAAUUCCUUGUCGGGUAAGUUCCGACCCGCACGAAAGGCGUAAUGAUUUGAGCGCUGUCUCGACAAUGCACCCGGUGAAAUUGAAAUACCAGUGAAGAUGCUGGUUACCUGCGCCAGGACGGAAAGACCCCAUGGAGCUUUACUCCAGCUUGAUACUGGGAUUCGGUACUGCAUGUACAGGAUAGGUGGGAGACUGAGAACUAUGAACGCCAGUUUGUAGGGAGUCGCUGUUGGGAUACCACCCUUGCGGUAUUGGAUUUCUAACCUGCAGCCGUGAACCGGCUGGGGGACAAUGUCAGGCGGGGAGUUUGACUGGGGCGGUCGCCUCCGAAAGGGUAUCGGAGGCGCUCAAAGGUUCCCUCAUAAUGGUUGGAAACCAUUAGAAGAGUGCAAAGGCAUAAGGGAGCUUGACUGCGACACCGACGGGUGGAGCAGGUAGGAAACUAGGACUUAGUGAUCCGGUGGUAUGAAAGUGGGAUUGCCAUCGCUCAACGGAUAAAAGCUACCCUGGGAUAACAGGCUUAUCACUCCCAAGAGUUCACAUCGACGGAGUGGUUUGGCACCUCGAUGUCGGCUCAUCGCAUCCUGGGGCUGUAGCAGGUCCCAAGGGUUGGGCUGUUCGCCCAUUAAAGCGGUACGCGAGCUGGGUUCAGAACGUCGUGAGACAGUUCGGUCCCUAUCCGGCGCGGGCGUAAGAUAUUUGAGAGGAGCUGUCCUUAGUACGAGAGGACCGGGAUGGACGGGCCGCUGGUGUACCUGUUGGAGUGCCAACUCCAUGGCAGGGUAGCCAAGCCCGGACGGGAUAAACGCUGAAGGCAUCUAAGCGUGAAGCCCCCCUCAAGAUGAGAUAUCUCAUACGCAAGUAGUAAGACCCCUUGAAGACGACAAGGUAGAUAGGUCAGAGGUGGAAGUGUGGUAACACAUGGAGCUGACUGAUACUAAUCGGUCGAGGGCUUGAAC